Molecule: long non-coding RNA, 2576 nt
Filed under: Heterocephalus glaber (naked mole-rat)
Lineage: Eukaryota; Metazoa; Chordata; Mammalia; Rodentia; Bathyergidae
Description: lncRNA (ENSHGLG00000045672.1)
Source: RNAcentral
CUGAAAUUGUGUCCUUCUGAAGUUCUUUUGUUGAAGUUCUAGUUCUAGUACCUCAGAAGAUGACCUUGUUUCAAGAAAGAGUAUUUGCAGAAGUAAUGAAGUGAAAGUGGCUUCAUCAGGGUGGGCUCUAAUCUGAUAGGACUUGUGUCUUCAUGAAGAGGGGGCCUUUGGGCAUGGAGACACACAUAGACAGGGAAUGGUAUGAAGAACACAAGGAGGAGCUGGUCAUGCACAAGCCCAGGGCAAAGGCCCAGAGCCAAGACUUCUCUCAGGGGCCUGGAAAGGACCAGUCCUACCAGCAUCUUGACCUUGGGCUUUCAGCCUCCAGAACUGAGACAGUAAUUUCUGCUGUUGAAGCUCCUGUUUUGUGGUACUUUGUUAUGGUUGCCGUGGUGAACUUGUACAAGGGAUGCCGCCAAUAAGCAGAUAGGAAUGAAUUUUUUUGUUUUUUUAGAAAAAGGGUUGUGAUAAGUGCUCUGGAGAAGAAGAUAGGCUGAAGAAAAAAAGUUGGGAAAGGGCUGCUUGGAGAUCACAUGAGGCAACUUUCACAGACCAGAAGGAAAUGAGACAGCAGCUGAAGCAGGCUUUAUCCUGGGCCCUGACAGCUCUCAGCUCAUAAUCUAGUGGGAAGAAGAGACAUAUAGCAACCAAACAGAUAAAUGUGUAUUAAAACUGCCAACAAGGAAACCAGAGAUCUUGGACACAGUGACAGAAAAACAAAUCCCACCAACACCAGAGGCAGCCAGGACCAGCUGACACCUUCAGGGCCACCUUUUGGGACCCUGAUAAGAAGACCCAGAUGACGGACCUCUGACCCACACAGAUCGUUAGGAAGCAAGCUGGCCUUGCAGGUUCAGCUUGUCGCAGGUGGUUAUGCACCGUGGAAAAGGACUGCAUAGAGGAUGGUCAAAGAGGGCCUCUCUGAGAGGCUGACCCCAACCUGAGAUGGAAGGUGAGGAGGAAUCAGGCCUGGGAAGAAGGAUGAGGAAAAAAGUUCCAGAUGAAGGACUCCAGUAGGAACCAAGCCGGCUCCAGGAUGGCAGCGGUGACCUUCGAGGUGGACCUGUCCCUUGUCUCCCCCAUCACCUCUCCAGUGAUGGGAAGUGGACGCCAACUCUCAUUUCCAGCACAGCCUUGAAAAAUCUUGCUAGCUCGCCUGCACCAACUGCCUCCUGCCUGCCGUUUCUGCCACUUGGACCUCGUCUUGCAACCUUUGUGCCCUGAGCUGCUGGGCCAGAAAAAAAGCUCAAGUGUGAAUGGAGGGAGGGAGGGAGAGAGAGAGAGAGGAAAUACAGAGCUUUCAGAUUAACAGUACGAGGAAAAAUGGUGAAGCCCAGGCUGGCUUGGAGCAGGGCAGGAGCUCUAGUCUUCGCCUUCACCUUGGACAUCAUCUCCUGGCUUCCAGCGCAGACUCUUCAGCUUCUGGCCCAGAUCUUUCAGCUUUCUGGUGACAUAGACUCUUCAGCCUUCCAGUGUAGUCUCAUUGGCCUCCUGAUACAGACUUACAUGGGACACUGCAGUGAGCUCCAGACCUUCGACUAAAUCCUCAGGUUUCCAGCAUGCAAACAGACCCUCUGCACUCUUUCUCAUCCGACUCUAGCCCUAGAGGCAGAGAAGAUGCAGGCCAUCAUGCCCAUUUCACAGACAGAGAAGCCGACAUCCUGAACAGGUGGAUCAGCCUAGAAAAGGAAGCACAACCUUGUGUGACAUUACCAUGGAAGUUUCACUUAGUACGUAUGUGUUUAAUGAAUAUAAUGAAGGAGCAGUUUUAUUCCUAGUGUCAGGUAUGUAAUCACACACCUAUAUGUUUAUUCAUUCUUUUGUUAAAAUCACUAAAUUUUAACAUUCAUCAGAGAAGUUUUCAGUUUUCUAUUGCUGUAUGCCAAAAAGCCUAAAAUAUAGUGGCUUAAAACCAAUAAUUUAUUAUUUCUCAUGAGUUUGUGAGCUAGGAAAUUGGGCAUAGCUCAGCAAGGGUGGUUCUUCUGGUCCACGUGGUGUCACAAAAGUCUCUCAAGCUCAUUAUGCUGGAAGUUGCGGACAGCUGUGUGGUGGUUAAUAGUUUGUGUCAACUGGGCUGGACUCUGUUGCCCAGACACUCUGUCACAUGUUAUUCUGAUGUUCUAUGAGGGUGUUUUUGGAUGGAAGUGACAUUUAAAUUGUUGAACUUUGAGCAAAGCUAGUUGCUUUCCAUAAUGUGGAUGGGUGAACUUUGUCCAAUCACUGAAAGUCUUGAAUAAAAUAAAAGUCCGACCUUCACCAAACAAGCAGGAAUUCUUCAGUAGAGUCUUUGGAACUGUACUAUAAUGUUUGCUCUUUGUGGUCUCCAGUUUGAUGGCCACCCUGAAGAUUUUGGACUUAUCAGAUUCCAUAAUAGCAUGAGCCAAUUACUUAAAUCUCUCUCUCUCUCUCUCUCUCUCUCUCUCUCUCAGUAGUGAUCUAUAGAUACAUAUAGAUUACCUAUCUACCUAUCAAUCCUUUAUGUAUCUAUUUGGUAUUUUGUUGUAUUCCACUGGUCAAAGCAAAUCACAACCAGUCCAGGGUCAAGGUGAGGAUACAUAGACUCCACCUCAUAACAG